GGGAUCUUAGCUCAGCUGGUUUAGAGCGCUACCUUGACAGGGUAGAAGUCAUGGGUUCGAAUCCCUUAGAUCCCACCA
This 78-nucleotide transfer RNA is filed under the name Flavobacteriales bacterium. RNAcentral describes it as "tRNA-Val". It matches the Rfam family "tRNA". Rfam says of the family: Transfer RNA (tRNA) molecules are approximately 80 nucleotides in length. Their secondary structure includes four short double-helical elements and three loops (D, anti-codon, and T loops). Further hydrogen bonds mediate the characteristic L-shaped molecular structure. tRNAs have two regions of fundamental functional importance: the anti-codon, which is responsible for specific mRNA codon recognition, and the 3' end, to which the tRNAs corresponding amino acid is attached (by aminoacyl-tRNA synthetases). tRNAs cope with the degeneracy of the genetic code in two manners: having more than one tRNA (with a specific anti-codon) for a particular amino acid; and 'wobble' base-pairing, i.e. permitting non-standard base-pairing at the 3rd anti-codon position. Lineage: Bacteria; Pseudomonadati; Bacteroidota; Flavobacteriia; Flavobacteriales. The record is from RNAcentral.